GAUCCUGGCUCAGGAUGAACGCUAGCUACAGGCUUAACACAUGCAAGUCGAGGGGCAGCAUGACCUAGCAAUAGGUUGAUGGCGACCGGCGCACGGGUGAGUAACACGUAUCCAACCUACCGGUUAUUCCGGGAUAGCCUUUCGAAGAAAGAUUAAUACCGGAUAGUAUAACGAGAAGGCAUCUUCUUGUUAUUUAAAGAAAUUUCGUAUAACCGAAUGGGGAGUGCGUUCCAUAGUUUGUUUGGCGGGGUAACGGGCCCACCCAAG
RNAcentral lists this ribosomal RNA (267 nucleotides) under uncultured bacterium. Its description in RNAcentral is "partial 16S ribosomal RNA". It matches the Rfam family "Bacterial small subunit ribosomal RNA", at positions 15 to 273 of the family's 1533-position model. The record is from RNAcentral.